UUACCAGGGCUUGACAUCCCCUGACCGCGUAUGAAAGUACGUUUUCACCCUCGGGUGACAGGGAGACAGGUGGUGCAUGGUUGUCGUCAGCUCGUGUCGUGAGAUGUUGGGUUAAGUCCCGCAACGAGCGCAACCCCUACGUUUAGUUGCUAACAGGUGAAGCUGAGCACUCUAGACGAACUGCCGUUGACAAAACGGAGGAAGGUGGGAUGACGUCAAAUCAUCAUGCCCCUUAUGUUCUGGGCUACACACGUGCUACAAUGGCCGGUACAGACGGAGGCGAAGCCGCGAGGCGGAGCAAAUCCGAAAAAGCCGGUCUCAGUUCGGAUUGCAGGCUGCAAUUCGCCUGCAUGAAGUCGGAAUCGCUAGUAAUCGCAGGUCAGCAUACUGCGGUGAAUACGUUCCCGGGCCUU
This 413-nucleotide ribosomal RNA is filed under the name uncultured Pelotomaculum sp. Its description in RNAcentral is "bacterial SSU rRNA". It matches the Rfam family "Bacterial small subunit ribosomal RNA", at positions 971 to 1382 of the family's 1533-position model. The record is from RNAcentral. Lineage: Bacteria; Bacillati; Bacillota; Clostridia; Eubacteriales; Desulfotomaculaceae.